This 250-nucleotide unclassified non-coding RNA is filed under the name Glomeraceae sp. RNAcentral describes it as "partial contains 5.8S ribosomal RNA and internal transcribed spacer 2". Lineage: Eukaryota; Fungi; Glomeromycota; Glomeromycetes; Glomerales; Glomeraceae. The record is from RNAcentral.
GUGAAUCAUCGAAUUUUUGAACGCAAAUUGCACUCUCUUCGAAGAUUAUGCCUGUUUGAGGGUCAGCCUAUAAAAAAUCAACAUCGUCGCUGUUUCGCGGUGGCGUUCGUCGGAAAUUGGUCAUUCUUAAUUCCUUUUGAUUUAAGCUACUUAAAUUUUUCUUUUGUUUCCAUGAACGUUUCUAAGAUCUAUUUUUUUACACUUUUAAGGUAUCGAUUUUUAUUAGACUUGACCAUAAUAUCGAAUCUCG